GACGUAGGUGACGAACGUUAUCCGGAAUCAUUGGGCGUAAAGGGUGCGUAGAUGGCAUGAUAAGUUAUUAGUGGGAAAUCGAGGCUCAACCUCGUGGAAGCUAGUAAUACUGUUUUGCUUGAGUACAGAAGAGGUUAACGGAACUCCAUGUGGAGCGGUAAAAUGCGUAGAUAUAUGGAAGAACACCAAUAACGGCGAAGGCAGUUAACUAUUCUGUUACUGACAUUGAGGCACGAAAGCGUGGGGAGCAAAACGG
RNAcentral lists this ribosomal RNA (256 nucleotides) under uncultured bacterium. RNAcentral's name for it is "partial 16S ribosomal RNA". It matches the Rfam family "Bacterial small subunit ribosomal RNA", at positions 524 to 776 of the family's 1533-position model. The record is from RNAcentral.